This 1478-nucleotide ribosomal RNA is filed under the name uncultured Bordetella sp. RNAcentral's name for it is "partial 16S-23S ribosomal RNA intergenic spacer". It matches the Rfam family "Bacterial small subunit ribosomal RNA". Lineage: Bacteria; Pseudomonadati; Pseudomonadota; Betaproteobacteria; Burkholderiales; Alcaligenaceae. The record is from RNAcentral.
UUUGAUCAUGGCUCCAGAUUGAACGCUGGCGGGAUGCUUUAGCACAUGCAAGUCGAACGGCAGCACGGACUCGGUCUGGUGGCGAGUGGCGAACGGGUGAGUAAUGUAUCGGAACGUGCCUAGUAGCGGGGGAUAACUACGCGAAAGCGUAGCUAGCCGCAUACGCCCUUCGGGGAAAGCGGGGGACAGCUUCGGGCCUCGCACUAUUAGAGCGGCCGAUAUCGGAUUAGCUAGUUGGUGGGGUAACGGCUCACCAAGGCGACGAUCCGUAGCUGGUUUGAAGGACGACCAGCCACACUGGGACUGAGACACGGCCCAGACUCCUGCAGGAGGCAGCAGUGAAAUUUUGGACAAUGGGGGAAACCUGAUCCAGCCAUCCCGCGUGUGCGAUGAAGGCCUUCGGGUUGUAAAGCACUUUUGGCAGGGGAAAGAAACGGCACGGGAUAAUACCCCGUGCAACUGACGGCCGCCUGCAGAAUAAGCACCGGCUAACUACGUGCCAGCAGCCGCGGUAAUACGUAGGGUGCAAGCGUUAAUCGGAAUUACUGGGCGUAAAGCGUGCGCAAGAGCGGUUCGGAAGAAAGAUGUGAAAUCCCAGAGCUUAACUUUGGAACUGCAUUUUAACUACCGAGCUAGAGUGUCAGGGAGGUGGAAUUCCGCGUGUAGCAGUGAAAUGCGUAGAUAUGCGGAGGAACACCGAUGGCGAAGGCAGCCUCCUGGGAUAACACUGACGCUCAUGCACGAAAAGCAGUAAGAGCAAACAGGAUUAGAUACCCUGGUAGUCCGCCUAAACGAUGUCAACUAGCUGUUGGGGCCUUUGGAGCCUUGGCAGCACCGGCUAACGCCAGUUGACCGCCUGGGAAUACGGUCUAUAAGAUUAAAACUCAAAGGAAUUGACGGGGACCCGCACAAGCGGUGGAUGAUGUGGAUUAAUUCGAUGCAACGCGAAAAACCUUACCUACCCUUGACAUGUCUGGAAUCCCGAAAAAUUUGGGAGUGCUCGCAAAGAGAACGGAACUGCACAGGUGCUGCAUGGCUGUCGUCAGCUCGUGUCGUGAGAUGUUGGGUUAAAGUCCCACAACGAGCACCAGCCCUUGUCGUGAAUUGCUACGAAAGGGCACUCUAAUGAACUGCACCGGUAACAAACCGGAGGAAGGUGGGGAUGACGUCAAGUCCUCGUGGCCCCUUAUAGGUAGGGCUUCACACGUCAUACAAUGGUCAGGACAGAGGGUCGCCAACCCGCGAGGAGCCAAUCCCAGAAACCCGAUCGUAGUCCGGAUCGCAGUCUGCAACUCGACUGCGUGAAGUCAGAAUCGCUGGUAAUCGCGGAUCAGCAUGUCGCGGUGAAUACGUUCCCGGGUCUUGUACACACCGCCCGUCACACCAUGGGAGUAAGGUUUUUUGCAGAAGUGAUUAUUAUUCGUAAGGGCGAUUGCCACGAUAAAGUUACUGACUGGGGUGAAGUCGUAACAAGGUAG